GGCAAGCACGAGGUCCUGAGUUUGAUUCCUGGCACAAAAAAAGGAGUCACCUUUCAGAUGUAAAAUGAAGUUGUUUUCAUUGAUUGAAAAGUUCCGGUCAAUUUAAAUCAAACCUGUGCUGUGGUCCAGGUUUAUGCUUGUUCCCCCUGCCAUUUCCCUUCCCUUCCUGUGCAGCAGUGUGGGGGGGGCUUGCCUUAGUGUUUCACUUUCCUUUCUUAUGGUUCCGAAGGUUCUGACAGGUAAGGAAGGGAAAGACGGUGUUGGUGUCACCUGGCCACUAGCACCUUCUGUGUGCCACAUGCCCAGUGACCUGUAGAGCUGCUCGGAGGGGCCUGUGCCUGUGUUCUGGCUCCGAUCUCUGCUGACCCUGGCGGCCUGCCCAGCCUGCCCUGCAGGAGCGCCGUGAAGUCCUGGCCCGCCGGCAGCCCAAGGGGAACUGACUGCCCACUUGCCCCCCAAACCGCACGUGCCACUGGCCUCAGGCCCCCGUUCCCGCUGUGCUCCUCAGGCUUCCGCCCCACCGCAGAUGCCGGCAGUCCCGAGUCAAGUUCUCUCGGGAGCUCUCGCUGCCCCAUCCCAUGUGGUGUGGCCACCCCCAGGCUCGCUUCUGCCAGGAAGCAAGUGCCGCUUGCAGGCAUUCCGUGGUCCUGCACGAACUGACACUUGCGGGGCGGUAGCAAGGAAAGGCAGGGACGUGACUCCCAGCAGCCCUCGUCUUCUCUUGUGUGGCCUAGACCUGGGGGCCCGUGCUGUGAGUUCGGAGCCCCUGGCUGCUGUUGCACAUCUGCCUGUGUGUGCGUCCUCGCUGUGCUGUGUUCCUGCCCACGCCGCUUCUCUCCUGCCUGACUUCCACCGUGGCAGGUCUGUAGCGGGAGGUGUCAGCACCUCUGGGCAGGGCAGGGCCUGCAGUUGGCUGAAGGCUGUGGGCCCUCCUCCUCCUCCUCCUCCUCCAGCCCUGUGGGAUCCAGGGGAGUAGCCUUGGGCAUUGGUGCCACAUUAUCACCCUCAGGUUGGCCCAGCCUCCUCUCCUGCCCUUUCCUGGGUCCCUACUUCUGUUUCUUGGGAUUAGUUCCCCAAGUACACCUUGUGCAUGCAGUUCCUGCUUCCUGUCCUGCUUUUCAGGGGACCCAGACUUGAAACACUUUUGUUCCUUGUCUUUAGAACGUGUGGAUACUUGUCAUCCAUUGACUAUGCUUUGGAGACUGCAAAAUCUAGACAAAAUGAGAAGUCCCGUCUAAAGCCUUCUACUUGUUACUGCAGUGGAAAGCUAACAGGGAAGACUGAUUGACAGGUGGCGCCCUCCCUGGUGAACCGCCCACGUGAUGUUUGCUGAUGUGGAUUUGCCUUCUUGUUUGGGCUUUCCAGCGGAGGGGCCGUGAGCUGCACAGAUAAACCCUGAUUUAAGUGUUGUUGAGGAAGGCUCUCCAAGAGCAGGAGGUAAAUUGGAGCCUGUGGUCCGAGUUACAUUGUGUCUCUACGUAUCAGCUAUUGUUUUUUGCUUCCAGCAUAGACUAAAGUAAGAAAGGAAGAUAUAUUGGACAGCAUACAGACGCUGUGGCCUGCCUCCUCCUUCCUGUCAGACUAGAGCUUCCUCAGGGGCCCGGGUGUUGGCUGUGGGCCUCCUAGGACCGAGGCCUCCCCUGCCUUGCCCUCAGCUCACGCAGGUCAGCCAGAGAUCUUUGUGGCAGAAACUUGGAACCCUUUUCUGGCCCCUCCAAGCACCUCUGCCCACCAGGAGGAUUCGUGGAAGGAAGUCAGCCCGGCCUCGUCUGGGCUGGAGUCGGGGCCUGGAGCAGGCUCCCUGGAGCUGGGGGUGGAGAGGAGCCAUGCUUGUCUCCCGCUCGAGGGCUGGUGCAGGCCCAGCUCACUGCGGUCCAUUUUCCGUGGUUUCAGUUAUUUGUGGCCAAACACAAUAUCGAAUGGAAAAUUCCAGAAGUACACGAUUAGUACUUAUUUGUUUUUGCGGUGCUGGGGCCUAACCUUGGGGUGCUGUGCAGGCCGGGCAGGUUGCACAGCUGUGCUGCACUUGGCCUGACAGUUCCUCAGUUUGAAAUCGCAAACCAGUGUGGGCGAGGUGAUGGCAUCUUGUGUCCUCCCGACUUGUUCCCGCAGGUGAAUCAUCCCUUCGUCUGGCACAUCCUCACUGUGCCGCACCGUGAUCGUCAGAUCCGCUGUGCCCUGUCUCCUCAGGUGGCCUGCAGGAGGGCUGACCCUCGCUCACCUCAUCUCCUGGGCCCGGUCCUCGCGCAUCUUCACAGGAGCAGGGCGAGCACAGUGCUGUACGGAGAGAGAGGCCUUGUCCACGCACUUCAUUAAGUGGUCUCCUCUGCCAUCACUGCCGUGACACCCUGCCUUGGAGCCGCCAGCCCUGGACUGAAAGCUCUACACCCUGUGGGCUGUCCUCUCUGUGGUGUUGGGCCUGUGUCUCAGUGAUGCAAAGGUCCCGAGAACCCUCUGCCAGCCAAGAGGCUGUGACCAGUUGUGGCCCCUCGACUUUGCACAGUUCUGCAAAAUAAAUGUCUUUCCUUCAUAAUUUACCUGAUGGGGAUGUGUGUUGCUGGGACAGGAAGCAGACUAGCACAGGGUGCCAGGAUGCACUUUGCACACCACCCUCCCCUGUCGCAUGUCCUGGCCCAGCUUGCGCAGAAUCAGAUUAAUAAACCAUUAAUAAACAACAGAAGCAAAUGAAAUAAUAAGCACAUUAAACUUCGUUUAGUUUUUAACUUUUUAAAA
Chinchilla lanigera (long-tailed chinchilla) is the source of this 2733-nucleotide long non-coding RNA. RefSeq lists it as uncharacterized. The record is from RefSeq and is a predicted model, not a curated record. NCBI's taxonomy places the organism in Eukaryota, Metazoa, Chordata, Mammalia, Rodentia, Chinchillidae. The transcript is spliced from 3 exons.